This 40-nucleotide unclassified non-coding RNA is filed under the name Sorangium cellulosum So ce56. RNAcentral's name for it is "sce_s2m_58". Lineage: Bacteria; Pseudomonadati; Myxococcota; Polyangiales; Polyangiaceae. The record is from RNAcentral.
ACGCAAGAGCACGCGGGGAUACGCGAGGACACGCAAGAGC